ACGCUCGACACCUACGGGAGGCAGCAGUGGGGAAUAUUGCACAAUGGAGGAAACUCUGAUGCAGCGAUGCCGCGUGAGGGAAGAAGGUUUUCGGAUUGUAAACCUCUGUCUUUGGGGACGAUAAUGACGGUACCCAAGGAGGAAGCUCCGGCUAACUACGUGCAAGCAGCCGCGGUAAUCUGAGCGGGCUGGCAAGGC
This 198-nucleotide ribosomal RNA is filed under the name uncultured bacterium. Its description in RNAcentral is "partial 16S ribosomal RNA". It matches the Rfam family "Bacterial small subunit ribosomal RNA", at positions 328 to 539 of the family's 1533-position model. The record is from RNAcentral.